Molecule: ribosomal RNA, 246 nt
Filed under: Triticum aestivum (bread wheat)
Lineage: Eukaryota; Viridiplantae; Streptophyta; Magnoliopsida; Poales; Poaceae
Description: partial small subunit ribosomal RNA
Source: RNAcentral
AUGUCUGGAAGCACGGGAGAACGCUCUUCUGCUUAUAUUAUUACCAGUAUUCGAUACUGGGUUAUUCGUAGCAUUACUAUACCUUCCUUAUUCAUUGCGGGUUUGUUAUUCGUCAGCCCGGCUUUCACUUGGAAAAGUAGGACCACCCAGCUGCUCCCUCCAGCCUGGCGCCCAUCGGCCAGAUUCAGCUACACUUCCUGCUCGGCUUUGACGAAAGCACUGGCUGCUGGUAGUGGAUCAAUGUGA